UGAACCUGCGGAAGGAUCAUUAUUGUAUAUUAAAAACAUAUAAUAAUUGAUACUUAUGUGAAGUUUAUUUCACAAACAAAAAAACUUACUAGGUAGCUGUACGAUGAGCUUUAAAGAAUUUUGCCUAGUGUCCUUACCACAUAUAAAUACAUAUGUGGUGAUAGAGGUGGAAUAGAUUGUCGCUAUUCAUUUACUUCUAUCAUUGUUUUUAUAACAUAAAAUGUUGAUUGUAUUAAAAUAUAAAAUAUAAUAAAAACAUGAGAACCUUAAACAGGGGAUCACUUGGCUCAUGGGUCGAUGAAGACCGCAGCAAACUGCGUGUCACCAUGUGAACUGCAGGACACAUGAUCAUUGACAUGUUGAACGCAUAUUGCACCUCAUGCGAUUAGAUUUUGAUUCAUUUACUUGAUUUAAGAUCUGUGUGAGGUACACAUGGUUGAGUGUCGUUAUUUAUAUAUUAAACUAUCUUUUGUGUGUAAAUGCACAAAAGUGAUUGAUGCGGUUAUACCAAAACUUCUAUAUUAAUUAUUAGUUGUGUUGGUAUACUGUGAAAAUAUAUAAAGUUGGAUUAUUAUAUUUCCACAAUCAUUAUUUAAUAUAAGUGUGGUUUAAAUAAUAUAAUAAUUUUCUAACAUAUAUAAAAUAAUAUUAUAAACGACCUCAACUCAUGUGUGA
Molecule: ribosomal RNA, 675 nt
Filed under: Forcipomyia sp. AMD-2011
Lineage: Eukaryota; Metazoa; Arthropoda; Insecta; Diptera; Ceratopogonidae
Description: eukaryotic LSU rRNA
Rfam family: 5.8S ribosomal RNA (bases 263-446)
Source: RNAcentral